AUGGAAAAGUAUAAUCUGAAACAGCACCCAUACAUGAUGGAGAUAUAUGAGAUCAGGACCAAGUGGGUGAACCCUUAUUUCAAGGGGGUUCUCUGUGCAAGAAUGACAAGCACACAACACAACAAGAGUGCUAAUAAUAUGCUGAAAACGUAUAUGCCUCGUGCCAUUGCAGUGCACAUGUUUGUGAGCCAGUACAUAUGGCUCCAGUUUGACCGUGAACGUGAUGAGAGCUACAAGGAGAAAAGAACAAGGAUUUUAAGUCAGUGUCUUCCCUUCUCUGUCAUUUGA
Molecule: ribosomal RNA, 288 nt
Filed under: Triticum aestivum (bread wheat)
Lineage: Eukaryota; Viridiplantae; Streptophyta; Magnoliopsida; Poales; Poaceae
Description: partial small subunit ribosomal RNA
Source: RNAcentral